GUCUAGAGGCUUCGGCAAUGGGGGCAACCCUGACCGAGCGACGCCGCGUGUGGGAUUGAAGGCCUUCGGGUCGUAAACCACUGUCUGGAGGGAAGAAUGCCCCGAUGGCGAAUCGGGGAGGGACGGUACCUCCGAAGGAAGCCCCGGCUAACUCCGUGCCAGCAGCCGCGGUAAUACGGAGGGGGCGAGCGUUGUUCGGAUUUACUGGGCGUAAAGGGUGUGUAGGCGGCUGCGUAAGUCUGGCGUGAAAUCUUCACCGCUUAACGGGAAGGGGACGCUGGAUACUGCGCGGCUUGAGUAUGGUAGAGGCAAGCGGAAUUCCUGGUGUAGCGGUGGAAUGUGUAGAUAUCAGGAAGAACACCUGUGGCGAAGGCGGCUUGCUGGGCCAUCACUGACGCUGAGACACGAAAGCGUGGGGAGCAAACGGGAUUAGAUACCCCAGUAGUCC
This 448-nucleotide ribosomal RNA is filed under the name uncultured bacterium. Its description in RNAcentral is "bacterial SSU rRNA". It matches the Rfam family "Bacterial small subunit ribosomal RNA", at positions 354 to 796 of the family's 1533-position model. The record is from RNAcentral.